GCCCCCGUAGCUCAAUUGGUAGAGCGCGAUACCUUUAAUAUCGUGGUUGGCGGAUCGAAACCGUCCGGGGGUA
RNAcentral lists this transfer RNA (73 nucleotides) under Emiliania huxleyi virus 88. RNAcentral's name for it is "tRNA-Lys". It matches the Rfam family "tRNA". From Rfam's summary of the family: Transfer RNA (tRNA) molecules are approximately 80 nucleotides in length. The record is from RNAcentral. Lineage: Varidnaviria; Bamfordvirae; Nucleocytoviricota; Megaviricetes; Algavirales; Phycodnaviridae.